RNAcentral lists this ribosomal RNA (761 nucleotides) under Prevotella melaninogenica. Its description in RNAcentral is "bacterial SSU rRNA". It matches the Rfam family "Bacterial small subunit ribosomal RNA", at positions 28 to 776 of the family's 1533-position model. The record is from RNAcentral. Lineage: Bacteria; Pseudomonadati; Bacteroidota; Bacteroidia; Bacteroidales; Prevotellaceae.
GAUGAACGUUAGCUACAGGCUUAACACAUGCAAGUCGAGGGGAAACGGCAUUUAGUGCUUGCACUGAAUGGACGUCGACCGGCGCACGGGUGAGUAACGCGUAUCCAACCUACCCAUUACUGUGGGAUAACCUGCCGAAAGGCAGACUAAUACCGCAUGGUCUUCGAUGACGGCAUCAGAUUUGAAGUAAAGAUUUAUCGGUAAUGGAUGGGGAUGCGUCUGAUUAGCUUGUUGGCGGGGUAACGGCCCACCAAGGCAACGAUCAGUAGGGGUUCUGAGAGGAAGGUCCCCCACAUUGGAACUGAGACACGGUCCAAACUCCUACGGGAGGCAGCAGUGAGGAAUAUUGGUCAAUGGACGAGAGUCUGAACCAGCCAAGUAGCGUGCAGGAUGACGGCCCUAUGGGUUGUAAACUGCUUUUGUAUGGGGAUAAAGUCAAUCACGUGUGAUUGUUUGCAGGUACCAUACGAAUAAGGACCGGCUAAUUCCGUGCCAGCAGCCGCGGUAAUACGGAAGGUCCGGGCGUUAUCCGGAUUUAUUGGGUUUAAAGGGAGCGUAGGCCGGAGAUUAAGUGUGUUGUGAAAUGUAGACGCUCAACGUCUGACUUGCAGCGCAUACUGGUUUCCUUGAGUACGCACAACGUUGGCGGAAUUCGUCGUGUAGCGGUGAAAUGCUUAGAUAUGACGAAGAACUCCGAUUGCGAAGGCAGCUGACGGGAGCGCAACUGACGCUUAAGCUCGAAGGUGCGGGUAUCGAACAGG